UAACCUACCUAUAAGACGUGGGAUAACGUACCGGGGAAACCGGGGACUAAUACCGAUAAUUAUUUUGAACCGCAUGGUUCAAUAGUGAAAGACGGUUUCGGCUGUCACUUUAUAGAUGGACCCGCGCCGUAUUAGCUAGUUGGUAAGGUAACGGCUUACCAAGGCGACGAUACGUAGCCGACCUGAGAGGGUGAUCGGCCACACUGGAACUGAGACACGGUCCAGACUCCUACGGGAGGCAGCAGAC
This 247-nucleotide ribosomal RNA is filed under the name uncultured Staphylococcus sp. RNAcentral describes it as "partial 16S ribosomal RNA". It matches the Rfam family "Bacterial small subunit ribosomal RNA", at positions 122 to 354 of the family's 1533-position model. The record is from RNAcentral. Lineage: Bacteria; Bacillati; Bacillota; Bacilli; Caryophanales; Staphylococcaceae.